AACGCUGGCGGCGUGCCUAAUCCAUGCAAGUCGAGCGAACAGACGAGGAGCUUGCUCCUCUGACGUUAGCGGCGGACGGGUGAGUAACACGUGGAUAACCUACCUAUAAGACUGGGAUAACUUCGGGAAACCGGAGCUAAUACCGGAUAAUAUAUUGAACCGCAUGGUUCAAUAGUGAAAGACGGUUUUGCUGUCACUUAUAGAUGGAUCCGCGCCGCAUUAGCUAGUUGGUAAGGUAACGGCUUACCAAGGCAACGAUGCGUAGCCGACCUGAGAGGGUGAUCGGCCACACUGGAACUGAGACACGGUCCAGACUCCUACGGGAGGCAGCAGUAGGGAAUCUUCCGCAAUGGGCGAAAGCUUGACGGAGCAACGCCGCGUGAGUGAUGAAGGUCUUCGGAUCGUAAAACUCUGUUAUUAGGGAAGAACAAAUGUGUAAGUAACUAUGCACGUCUUGACGGUACCUAAUCAGAAAGCCACGGCUAACUACGUG
RNAcentral lists this ribosomal RNA (493 nucleotides) under uncultured bacterium. RNAcentral describes it as "partial 16S ribosomal RNA". It matches the Rfam family "Bacterial small subunit ribosomal RNA", at positions 32 to 507 of the family's 1533-position model. The record is from RNAcentral.